UAUGGAGAGUUUGAUCCUGGCUCAGAGUGAACGCUGGCGGCGUGCCUAAUACAUGCAAGUCGAACGAUGAAGCUUCUAGCUUGCUAGAAUGCUGAUUAGUGGCGCACGGGUGAGUAACGCAUAGGUCAUGUGCCUCUUAGUUUGGGAUAGCCAUUGGAAACGAUGAUUAAUACCAGAUACUCCCUACGGGGGAAAGAUUUAUCGCUAAGAGAUCAGCCUAUGUCCUAUCAGCUUGUUGGUAAGGUAAUGGCUUACCAAGGCUAUGACGGGUAUCCGGCCUGAGAGGGUGAACGGACACACUGGAACUGAGACACGGUCCAGACUCCUACGGGAGGCAGCAGUAGGGAAUAUUGCUCAAUGGGGGAAACCCUGAAGCAGCAACGCCGCGUGGAGGAUGAAGGUUUUAGGAUUGUAAACUCCUUUUGUUAGAGAAGAUAAUGACGGUAUCUAACGAAUAAGCACCGGCUAACUCCGUGCCAGCAGCCGCGGUAAUACGGAGGGUGCAAGCGUUACUCGGAAUCACUGGGCGUAAAGAGCGCGUAGGCGGGAUAGUCAGUCAGGUGUGAAAUCCUAUGGCUUAACCAUAGAACUGCAUUUGAAACUACUAUUCUAGAGUGUGGGAGAGGUAGGUGGAAUUCUUGGUGUAGGGGUAAAAUCCGUAGAGAUCAAGAGGAAUACUCAUUGCGAAGGCGACCUGCUGGAACAUUACUGACGCUGAUUGCGCGAAAGCGUGGGGAGCAAACAGGAUUAGAUACCCUGGUAGUCCACGCCCUAAACGAUGGAUGCUAGUUGUUGGAGGGCUUAGUCUCUCCAGUAAUGCAGCUAACGCAUUAAGCAUCCCGCCUGGGGAGUACGGUCGCAAGAUUAAAACUCAAAGGAAUAGACGGGGACCCGCACAAGCGGUGGAGCAUGUGGUUUAAUUCGAGGAUACACGAAGAACCUUACCUAGGCUUGACAUUGAGAGAAUCCGCUAGAAAUAGUGGAGUGUCUGGCUUGCCAGACCUUGAAAACAGGUGCUGCACGGCUGUCGUCAGCUCGUGUCGUGAGAUGUUGGGUUAAGUCCCGCAACGAGCGCAACCCCCUUUCUUAGUUGCUAACAGGUCAUGCUGAGAACUCUAAGGAUACUGCCUCCGUAAGGAGGAGGAAGGUGGGGACGACGUCAAGUCAUCAUGGCCCUUACGCCUAGGGCUACACACGUGCUACAAUGGGGUGCACAAAGAGAAGCAAUACUGCGAAGUGGAGCCAAUCUUCAAAACACCUCUCAGUUCGGAUUGUAGGCUGCAACUCGCCUGCAUGAAGCUGGAAUCGCUAGUAAUCGCAAAUCAGCCAUGUUGCGGUGAAUACGUUCCCGGGUCUUGUACUCACCGCCCGUCACACCAUGGGAGUUGUGUUUGCCUUAAGUCAGGAUGCUAAAUUGGCUACUGCCCACGGCACACACAGCGACUGGGGUGAAGUCGUAACAAGGUAACCGUAGGUGAACCUGCGGUUGGAUCACCUCCUU
This 1501-nucleotide ribosomal RNA is filed under the name Helicobacter pylori. RNAcentral describes it as "bacterial SSU rRNA". It matches the Rfam family "Bacterial small subunit ribosomal RNA". Lineage: Bacteria; Pseudomonadati; Campylobacterota; Epsilonproteobacteria; Campylobacterales; Helicobacteraceae. The record is from RNAcentral.